Molecule: ribosomal RNA, 468 nt
Filed under: uncultured bacterium
Lineage: Bacteria
Description: partial 16S ribosomal RNA
Rfam family: Bacterial small subunit ribosomal RNA
Source: RNAcentral
GAUGAACGCUGGCGGCGUGCUUAACACAUGCAAGUCGAACGGAAAGGCCGAAGCUUGCUUCGGUACUCGAGUGGCGAACGGGUGAGUAACACGUGGGUGAUCUGCCCUGUACUUCGGGAUAAGCUUGGGAAACUGGGUCUAAUACCGGAUAUGACGAUCUCUUGGAUGGGGUUGUGGAAAGCUUUUGCGGUAUGGGAUGAGCUCGCGGCCUAUCAGCUUGUUGGUGGGGCAAUGGCCUACCAAGGCGUCGACGGGUAGCCGGCCUGAGAGGGUGUACGGCCACAUUGGGACUGAGAUACGGCCCAGACUCCUACGGGAGGCGGCAGUGGGGAAUAUUGCACAAUGGGCGCAAGCCUGAUGCAGCGACGCCGCGUGGGGGAUGACGGCCUUCGGGUUGUAAACUCCUUUCGCAAUCGACGAAGCCUUUUGGUGACGGUAGGUUGAGAAGAAGCACCGGCUAACUACGUG